Tritrichomonas musculus is the source of this 74-nucleotide non-coding RNA. The record is from the annotation of a GenBank genome assembly. Lineage: Eukaryota; Parabasalia; Tritrichomonadida; Tritrichomonadidae.
GCUUAUGUAGCAUAAUUGGUUAUUGCGUUCGACUUGUAAUUGGAAGGUUGGCGGUUCGAGUCCGCUCAUAAGCA